This 221-nucleotide long non-coding RNA is filed under the name Elaeis guineensis (African oil palm). RNAcentral describes it as "long non-coding RNA (EGUI_LNC025817)". The record is from RNAcentral. Lineage: Eukaryota; Viridiplantae; Streptophyta; Magnoliopsida; Arecales; Arecaceae.
CCUCGAUAUCUCACAAACUCUCUGGUUUGUACAUCAAUUUUUUUUAAAAAAUACUUGGUUUAACUUGAUUUUUUAAGUGUAAUCAGAUACUUAAAUGCUAAAUACUAACUACUAACUUGAGGACUUAAAAAUUUAAAAAUUUUUAUUAUUCACCCCUCCAACUUAAUCGAUAUUGUCCUCAAUAGAGUAGAAAAAAUGAAGGGUGGAUACAAAAAAAAAAA